UUAAAUUGAAGAGUUUGAUCAUGGCUCAGAUUGAACGCUGGCGGCAGGCCUAACACAUGCAAGUCGAACGGUAACAGGAAGCAGCUUGCUGCUUUGCUGACGAGUGGCGGACGGGUGAGUAAUGUCUGGGAAACUGCCUGAUGGAGGGGGAUAACUACUGGAAACGGUGGCUAAUACCGCAUAACGUCGCAAGACCAAAGAGGGGGACCUUCGGGCCUCUUGCCAUCAGAUGUGCCCAGAUGGGAUUAGCUUGUUGGUGAGGUAACGGCUCACCAAGGCGACGAUCCCUAGCUGGUCUGAGAGGAUGACCAGCCACACUGGAACUGAGACACGGUCCAGACUCCUACGGGAGGCAGCAGUGGGGAAUAUUGCACAAUGGGCGCAAGCCUGAUGCAGCCAUGCCGCGUGUAUGAAGAAGGCCUUCGGGUUGUAAAGUACUUUCAGCGGGGAGGAAGGUGUUGUGGUUAAUAACCGCAGCAAUUGACGUUACCCGCAGAAGAAGCACCGGCUAACUCCGUGCCAGCAGCCGCGGUAAUACGGAGGGUGCAAGCGUUAAUCGGAAUUACUGGGCGUAAAGCGCACGCAGGCGGUCUGUCAAGUCGGAUGUGAAAUCCCCGGGCUCAACCUGGGAACUGCAUUCGAAACUGGCAGGCUUGAGUCUUGUAGAGGGGGGUAGAAUUCCAGGUGUAGCGGUGAAAUGCGUAGAGAUCUGGAGGAAUACCGGUGGCGAAGGCGGCCCCCUGGACAAAGACUGACGCUCAGGUGCGAAAGCGUGGGGAGCAAACAGGAUUAGAUACCCUGGUAGUCCACGCCGUAAACGAUGUCUACUUGGAGGUUGUGCCCUUGAGGCGUGGCUUCCGGAGCUAACGCGUUAAGUAGACCGCCUGGGGAGUACGGCCGCAAGGUUAAAACUCAAAUGAAUUGACGGGGGCCCGCACAAGCGGUGGAGCAUGUGGUUUAAUUCGAUGCAACGCGAAGAACCUUACCUGGUCUUGACAUCCACGGAAGAAUUCAGAGAUGGAUUUGUGCCUUCGGGAACCGUGAGACAGGUGCUGCAUGGCUGUCGUCAGCUCGUGUUGUGAAAUGUUGGGUUAAGUCCCGCAACGAGCGCAACCCUUAUCCUUUGUUGCCAGCGGUCCGGCCGGGAACUCAAAGGAGACUGCCAGUGAUAAACUGGAGGAAGGUGGGGAUGACGUCAAGUCAUCAUGGCCCUUACGACCAGGGCUACACACGUGCUACAAUGGCGCAUACAAAGAGAAGCGACCUCGCGAGAGCAAGCGGACCUCAUAAAGUGCGUCGUAGUCCGGAUUGGAGUCUGCAACUCGACUCCAUGAAGUCGGAAUCGCUAGUAAUCGUGGAUCAGAAUGCCACGGUGAAUACGUUCCCGGGCCUUGUACACACCGCCCGUCACACCAUGGGAGUGGGUUGCAAAAGAAGUAGGUAGCUUAACCUUCGGGAGGGCGCUUACCACUUUGUGAUUCAUGACUGGGGUGAAGUCGUAACAAGGUAACCGUAGGGGAACCUGCGGUUGGAUCACCUCCUUACCUGAAAGAAGC
Molecule: ribosomal RNA, 1556 nt
Filed under: Salmonella enterica
Lineage: Bacteria; Pseudomonadati; Pseudomonadota; Gammaproteobacteria; Enterobacterales; Enterobacteriaceae
Also listed under: 6 other names
Description: bacterial SSU rRNA
Rfam family: Bacterial small subunit ribosomal RNA
Source: RNAcentral